AGAGUUUGAUCCUGGCUCAGAUUGAACGCUGGCGGCAUGCCUUACACAUGCAAGUCGAACGGCAGCACGGGAGCUUGCUCCUGGUGGCGAGUGGCGAACGGGUGAGUAAUACAUCGGAACGUACCCUGAAGUGGGGGAUAACGUAGCGAAAGUUACGCUAAUACCGCAUAUUCUGUGAGCAGGAAAGAGGGGGAUCGCAAGACCUCUUGCUUUAGGAGCGGCCGAUGUCGGAUUAGCUAGUUGGUGAGGUAAAGGCUCACCAAGGCGACGAUCCGUAGCGGGUCUGAGAGGAUGAUCCGCCACACUGGGACUGAGACACGGCCCAGACUCCUACGGGAGGCAGCAGUGGGGAAUUUUGGACAAUGGGCGCAAGCCUGAUCCAGCCAUGCCGCGUGAGUGAAGAAGGCCUUCGGGUUGUAAAGCUCUUUCGGUGGGGAAGAAAUUGCUUCGGUUAAUACCUGGAGUAG
Molecule: ribosomal RNA, 467 nt
Filed under: uncultured bacterium
Lineage: Bacteria
Description: bacterial SSU rRNA
Rfam family: Bacterial small subunit ribosomal RNA
Source: RNAcentral